UGGGGAAUCUUGGACAAUGGGGGCAACCCUGAUCCAGCCAUGCCGCGUGAGUGACGAAGGCCCUAGGGUCGUAAAGCUCUUUCGCCAGGGAAGAUAAUGACGGUACCUGGUAAAGAAACCCCGGCUAACUCCGUGCCAGCAGCCGCGGUAAUACGGAGGGGGUUAGCGUUGUUCGGAAUUACUGGGCGUAAAGCGCACGUAGGCGGACCAUUAAGUUGGGGGUGAAAUCCCGGGGCUCAACCCCGGAACUGCCUUCAAAACUGCUGGUCUUGAGUUCGAGAGAGGUGAGUGGAAUUCCGAGUGUAGAGGUGAAAUUCGUAGAUAUUCGGAGGAACACCAGUGGCGAAGGCGGCUCACUGGCUCGAUACUGACGCUGAGGUGCGAAAGCGUGGGGAGCAAACAGGAUUAGAUACCCCCGUAGUCC
This 424-nucleotide ribosomal RNA is filed under the name uncultured prokaryote. Its description in RNAcentral is "bacterial SSU rRNA". It matches the Rfam family "Bacterial small subunit ribosomal RNA", at positions 355 to 796 of the family's 1533-position model. The record is from RNAcentral.